Molecule: ribosomal RNA, 385 nt
Filed under: Caltoris cahira
Lineage: Eukaryota; Metazoa; Arthropoda; Insecta; Lepidoptera; Hesperiidae
Description: partial 16S ribosomal RNA
Source: RNAcentral
UUAAAGGGCUGCAGUAUACUGACUGUACAAAGGUAGCAUAAUAAUUAGUCUUUUAAUUGAAGACUUGUAUGAAAGAUUUGAUGAGAUAUAAGCUGUCUCUUUUUUAUAUUUAGAAUUUAAUUUUUUAGUAAAAAAGCUAAAAUUAUUUUAAAAGACGAGAAGACCCUAUAGAGUUUUAUAUUUAAGUUUAAUUAUAUAUUUAUGUUUAAUUUUAAAAUUAAUUAGUUUAAUUAUUUUAUUGGGGUGAUAGAAAAAUUAAAAUAACUUUUUUUUUAAUUUAAACAUUAAUUAGUGGUUAUAUGAUCCAUAGUUUAUGAUUAUAAGAAAAAAUUACCUUAGGGAUAACAGCGUAAUUUUUUUUUUUAGUUCUUAUAAGAAAAAAAGU